UGGGGAAUAUUGCACAAUGGAGGGAACUCUGAUGCAGCGACGCCGCGUGAGUGAUGAAGGAAUUCGUUUCGUAAAACUCUGUUCUAUGGGAAGAAAAGGACUGUACCAUAGGAGAAAGCUCCGGCUAAAUACGUGCCAGCAGCCGCGGUAAUACGUAUGGAGCGAGCGUUGUCCGGAAUUAUUGGGCGUAAAGGGUGCGCAGGCGGCUUUACAAGUUGGAUGUGAAAUAUUGUGGCUCAACCAAAAACGUGCAUCCAAAACUGCAAAGCUUGAGUUAAGGAGAGGUAAGUGGAAUUCCUGGUGUAGCGGUGGAAUGCGUAGAUAUCAGGAGGAAUACCGGUGGCGAAGGCGACUUACUGGACUUAAACUGACGCUCAGGCACGAAAGCGUGGGGAGCAAACAGG
Molecule: ribosomal RNA, 404 nt
Filed under: Fusobacteriota bacterium
Lineage: Bacteria; Fusobacteriati; Fusobacteriota
Description: Fusobacteria bacterium partial 16S ribosomal RNA
Rfam family: Bacterial small subunit ribosomal RNA
Source: RNAcentral